Molecule: unclassified non-coding RNA, 654 nt
Filed under: Hevea brasiliensis (rubber tree)
Lineage: Eukaryota; Viridiplantae; Streptophyta; Magnoliopsida; Malpighiales; Euphorbiaceae
Source: RNAcentral
UCACCUCCACCUCCAUACUACUACAAGUCCCCACCUUCACCAUCUCCAUCACCACCCCCACCUUACUAUUACAAGUCCCCACCUCCACCAUCACCAUCCCCACCUCCAUACUACUAUAAGUCUCCACCUCCACCAUCCCCCUCACCACCCCCACCUUCCUAUUACAAGUCUCCACCUUCACCAUCACCAUCCCCUCCGCCCUACUAUAAGUCUCCACCUCCACCAUCACCAUCCCCUCCACCCACAUACUACUAUAAGUCCCCACCUCCACCCUCACCAUCACCACCGCCACCUUACUAUUACAAGUCACCACCACCACCAUCACCAUCUCCUCCACCUCCAUACUAUUACAUGUCCCCACCUCCACCAUCUCCAUCCUCUCCACCACCUUACUAUUACAAGUCCCCUCCUCCACCAUCUCCUUCUCCUCCAUCUCCUUAUUACUACAAGUCUACACCACCUCCUUCUCCAUCGCCACCUCCUCCAGUAUAUCACUACUACUCUCCUCCACCACCUGUUGUUUACUAAGCAAAAGAAAGCUUAAUUUUAAUUCAAGUAAGUAUAAUUUUCUAUAUGCUUCAUCUUGCACUUAUAGUUUUCUCUAUACAUCCUCCGGCCAGUGUCAUCGUGAUGAUGAAGGUUAUUGUUUUGCAU